GUUGCUUCUGUAAUUUAAUGUUGAGUAACCUGUGUUCUGAUUGGUUAUUCAUUAUGUAUAGAAGCAUACAACUGUGUUAUUGCCAGUUUUAAACAGCAUGAUGUGUUUUUAUUUUGCAUUGUGUUACCUGUCUGCUGGUAAAUUU
This is a small nucleolar RNA of Lathyrus oleraceus (garden pea), 145 nucleotides long. RefSeq annotates it as small nucleolar RNA snoR137. The record is from RefSeq and is a predicted model, not a curated record. The transcript has a single exon. Lineage: Eukaryota; Viridiplantae; Streptophyta; Magnoliopsida; Fabales; Fabaceae.